GAUGAAGAACGUAGCGAAAUGCGAUAAGUAAUGUGAAUUGCAGAAUUCAGUGAAUCAUCGAAUCUUUGAACGCACAUUGCGCCCUCUGGUAUUCCGGGGGGCAUGCCUGUUCGAGCGUCAUUACAACCCUCAAGCUUUGCUUGGUAUUGGACAUUGCCAGUUUCUGUCAGGUCUUAAAAUCAGUGGCGGUGCCAUUUGGCUUCAAGCGUAGUAAUUCUUCUCGCUUUGGAGAUCCAGGUGGUUACUUGCCAAUAACCCCCAAUUUUUUCAGGUUGACCUCGGAUCAGGUAGGGAUACCCGCUGAACUUAAGCAUAUCAAUAAGCGGAGGA
RNAcentral lists this unclassified non-coding RNA (330 nucleotides) under soil metagenome. Its description in RNAcentral is "partial contains 5.8S ribosomal RNA, internal transcribed spacer 2, and large subunit ribosomal RNA". The stretch from base 1 to 120 matches the Rfam family "5.8S ribosomal RNA", at positions 35 to 154 of the family's 154-position model. The record is from RNAcentral.